RNAcentral lists this transfer RNA (70 nucleotides) under Mantella baroni. RNAcentral describes it as "tRNA-Met". It matches the Rfam family "tRNA". From Rfam's summary of the family: Transfer RNA (tRNA) molecules are approximately 80 nucleotides in length. Their secondary structure includes four short double-helical elements and three loops (D, anti-codon, and T loops). The record is from RNAcentral. Lineage: Eukaryota; Metazoa; Chordata; Amphibia; Anura; Mantellidae.
AUGUAAGGUCAGCUAACUAAGCUCUUGGGCUCAUGCCCCAAUCAUGUUGGUUAAAAUCCUCCCUUUACAG